Rhagoletis pomonella (apple maggot) is the source of this 572-nucleotide RNA transcript. RefSeq lists it as uncharacterized. NCBI's taxonomy places the organism in Eukaryota, Metazoa, Arthropoda, Insecta, Diptera, Tephritidae. The record is from RefSeq and is a predicted model, not a curated record. The transcript has 2 exons.
UCUAGUGGGUUUGUAUAAAAAUCUGGAUUUUUUUGCACGAAAGCAGUUGGCAGCACUGGCUGGAACUCACAUUAUUACAUACACACAUACAAAUGUAUUAAACAUAUGAAUUUAAAUUUCAUGCUUUUGAGAGUAAUUAUCCACUGUUACGCUCUUCGAAAAACGUUUAAGCGCAUUGUUUUAUCCGAUCUCGAUGGUAAUAUCACGGUCCCCAACCCUCGGGAGCCCUCCUAUUCGAGGGUAAUUUGGGAAUGCGCAGACUCUUUCGAGGAAUUCGAUUUGUGUAUGUAUGUGUAGAGGGGAAAAAACACCAGACGCGGUAUUGGCUGAAAUUUGUUGGUGGUUAAAGGAUAUGUUCCAAGAGCAGUACGAAGAAGGCAAUAGUGACGAUGAUUUCAAAACACCAACAUCAAAAAAACGUCGCACAAACUGAUUUAAUGUUAAUUAUAGUAUUUUGUUAAAAAGUAGUAGUAGUAAAUUCCUUCGAUUUACGCUUAUACUUUAAUACGUAGGAGGUUACCACCGUUGGUGACCCCUGUAAUAAUGAAAAAUAAAUUUUUUGGACUUACUUC